UACGUAGGGGGCAAGCGUUGUCCGGAUUUAUUGGGCGUAAAGAGCUCGUAGGUGGUUCGGUAAGUCGGAUGUGAAAUCUCCAGGCUCAACCUGGAGGGGUCAUUCGAUACUGCCGUGACUAGAGGUCGGUAGGGGAGUGUGGAAUUCCUGGUGGAGCGGUGAAAUGCGCAGAUAUCGGGAAGAACACCCGUGGCUAAGGCGGCUCUCUAGUACGGUACUGACGCUGAGACGCGAAAGCGUGGGGAGCGAACAGG
RNAcentral lists this ribosomal RNA (254 nucleotides) under uncultured bacterium. RNAcentral describes it as "partial 16S ribosomal RNA". It matches the Rfam family "Bacterial small subunit ribosomal RNA", at positions 524 to 776 of the family's 1533-position model. The record is from RNAcentral.